GUCCUAGCCGUAAACGAUGUCCACUAGGUGUCGGAGGUCCUACCCCUUCGGUGCCGCCGCUAACGCAUUAAGUGGACCACCUGGGGAGUACGAUCGCAAGGUUGAAACUCAAAGGAAUUGACGGGGGCCCGCACAAGCGGUGGAGCAUGUGGUUUAAUUCGAUGCAACGCGAAGAACCUUACCGGGGUUUGACAUCCAGAGGACAGGUGUAGAGAUACACCCUCCUUCGGGCCUCUGGACAGGUGCUGCAUGGCUGUCGU
This 260-nucleotide ribosomal RNA is filed under the name uncultured bacterium. RNAcentral's name for it is "partial 16S ribosomal RNA". It matches the Rfam family "Bacterial small subunit ribosomal RNA", at positions 793 to 1055 of the family's 1533-position model. The record is from RNAcentral.